AAGGCACGGUAAAGACCUUCGCGUUCCUUGAUGAAGGUUCAUCGGCGACAUUCGUUGAUCGUGAGCUGAUAGACGAGCUGGGUAUGGACGGUAAAUUGCACCCAGUCAGUUUGAAGUGGACUGAUAACACGACCCGCGACGAAGUCAGCUCUUUAAAGUUAUCUCUGCGAGUAUCGGGUUUAAGCAAAGGUGCUUCGAUAUACAACCUGCCAACGGUGCAUACCCUGAAAAAACUCGAACUUCCAGCGCAGACACUGUCGGUUCAAAAGUUGAGCGAGGAGUAUCCGCACCUCAAAGGGCUUAAAAUCUCGUCCUACAGCGGAAUAGUGCCGCGCAUCAUUAUCGGCAUGGAUAAUGUUUACCUAGGGAAGCCGUCGCGAUGCAUCGAGGGUGACAUACAUGAACCGAUCGCGGUUAAGACCAGGCUAGGAUGGACGGUGUUUGGUCCUUGUUUCUCAAACGCCCUUGUUGCAAGCAAGGACCGUCAUAGCGGCAUCUGUAAACGUAAAGGAAAUAAGGUCACGGAUAAUUCUAUACAGAAAUAUUUCCCGUGCGAUACGAAAGGAAUCGAAACAAAACGGGAACAAGGUGUCCGUCCGCACUUCGCAACACUGCAGCAAAUUUGCCCCAGCCUAACAUUGUUCCGGAGGGACAAUGAACUACAGCUUUCUUGCAACCGCGAGACAACCCCCAGGACAAUCGCAUGGCAAUCGGAUUGAACGCGCAACAUUUUCCAUACAAUCCGCAGUGUUGCGUUUUCUUCGCGCCAACUUUGCCUGUAUUUUCAAUGUAUUUUCUUUGCCUGUAAUUCAAUUUUAUUGCACUACAUUAAGUUUUUACAUAUCUUUCGUAAAAGUUCGUUAGAGUAUGAAAAUGUCGAUACAAUUUGUCAUGAAUAACUUAAAUUUUAAGAUUUUCGCGCAUAAAAUUAUGACGCGCGCUGUCUGUGCGGCGGCGUAAUUCGCUACUCGUAUAGCCGUCUCGCUUCUUCUUGUGUGUGCUUUACCGUUGCUCACCGCUUCAAGAACAUUGCUGCUCACACACACGUCAGUCUGUGGCAAACAAUUGGAGGGGGAGGAUGUGUCGGUUUGCUCCAGAAAUCGUGUGUGAUUUUGGUGAUCUGGAUUUGGUUCCAUCGCUGUUUGUUUUGGUGGAAUUGAAAAGAUAAGAAUCAUCAACCGAUGUAAAACUGUGAGAGUAAGAUGAUGCUGAUGGUGACUGAUUAUUUUCUUUGUUUCUUUUCCUGCUUUCAUCCACUGAUGGCGUCGAGCAUCGCCGAGGAUGUGAUCGAAUGCGGAAUAUUCUAAACAAGGAGCUUCAUUCCGGAUUUUGUUUGCAAUAAGCGCUGAACUAAUCCUCCAGCUUACAACGAACGGUCAACGGAAGAGGAAGGAGAGGAGGGACGGCAAAGGUACACGCAUAAACGUGCACACAUCAGCCUUCUGGGAGAACGAGAACACGGGAGGGGGAGACCGGCAACGUAUAGAACCUUUACGCUCCCUCGUGCGUUCGUGCGUGCGCGCGCGCGUCUAUGUGUGUGUAUGUGUGUGCAUGACUGCGUGCGUGACUGUGUGUGUUUUUGCCGCUUCGCAUAACGAGAUCCUACGGGAUCACCUUACAAAAAACACCAAGAGAGGGGGAGGGGUAGGUGUAUGUGUAUGUGUGUGUGUAUGUGUGCUUGCAUGCGUGCGUGGCUGUGUAUGUGUGUGUAUGUGCGCUUGCAUGCGUGCGUGGCUGUGUAUGUGUGUGUAUGUGUGCUUGCAUGCGUGCGUGGCUGUGAGCGUGAUUUUUGCUGUUUCGCGAUCUCCUACGGAAUCACCUUGCGAAAACACGAAGGGGGGGGGGGGGGGGGGUGUGUGUGGAAGCAUGCUUGCCUGCGUGCUUUGUAUGUGUGUGUGUUUUGCGUUCACGUUCUACGGGAUCACUUUGCGAAAAACACCAAGGGGAGGAGGAGGUGUGUGUGUGUAUGUAUUUUUUUUCUUUGCCGAUUCUCUCGCGGAUCUAGUUGUGUGCGUUAGUUUUUCUUUAGUUUCUUCGAAAAAUCUUCGAAAAAUACCUGGGGGAGGAUGUGUGUAUGAAAGAAUGUACUUCAGAAAAGAAAGUGAAAAAUAAAAAACGAAUAUAAAAUAUGUUAAACGAA
Anopheles gambiae (African malaria mosquito) is the source of this 2140-nucleotide long non-coding RNA. RefSeq lists it as uncharacterized. NCBI's taxonomy places the organism in Eukaryota, Metazoa, Arthropoda, Insecta, Diptera, Culicidae. The record is from RefSeq and is a predicted model, not a curated record. The transcript has 2 exons.